Molecule: long non-coding RNA, 2287 nt
Filed under: Medicago truncatula (barrel medic)
Lineage: Eukaryota; Viridiplantae; Streptophyta; Magnoliopsida; Fabales; Fabaceae
Description: long non-coding RNA (MTRU_LNC003001)
Source: RNAcentral
AGCGGGAAUGAGGGUGUUACCUUACACAGUGCUUUAACUCCUACUCACAACAUAACUCACUUCAUCAUUCACUCGUCACCCUAAACAAGGUAUGACAACAUCAUUACUCGUCAUUCACAUGCAUCAUUUAUUACAUCAUUCAUCAUCGUCGUUCAACAAUUAUUAUACAUAUUCCAUUCCUUCAUUAAUCAAUAUUGCAUUUUAAAAUCUACUCUCGUCAUUUGUUCUCUUCAUUACUACAUCUUUCUAGUUAGUCCUCAUCUUGACUUUAAGGAAACUUCCCUUAACAUCCAAUCAUACCCCCUUACCUAGAGAUCACUUCUUUUAUUUUAAAUUAAGAUGUUCAUCUUUCAUCACUAGUUCUCUUUGCAUCAUUGAUUAUAUUAAAUGAUCGUACCCUAUUCUUCAUUUAUUUUAAUCUUAUAUUCUUCUAUCUCACAAUUAUCUUAGACCCAUCUUUGUCGUCGUUAACUACCAUGAACUAUCUUAGACUCACCAUUGCUCGAAAGGUAUCACUUCUAAACAACACUUAAUCAUACUUCCCUCGCCUAAUUAUUGUACUCACAUAACUUAAUUCGAUGUUAAUAUCAAGUCUACAACAAUUUUAGAUGGUCAAGGGGUGUUAAAAACAGCAAAGUACGAUGAAAAUGGUCUCACAAUAUCGUGUAAUGUUUAUGCAAAUCGUGGCAUGAUUUUAUUCCCAAAAUGAUGUUUUGCUACUACUCUCAAAAUCUCUACAUGAUUUGUAAAAUAGCGACGUGAUUUUAACAGCACCAGUUUAUGCAGAAAUCACAAAUUUUUACGAUGUUCCACCAUGGGAGCCUCCUCGACUCCACUUUUCGACCUUAAACUCAUUAAACUUGUUCCUAAUUGUCACCCCAUGAUUAUCAUAUCAUCCAAACAGUAAUUCUUCAUUAACCUACCAAAUUAUCUACUCUUUUUACGGCUAAAAACUCAUUUUAAAAACCUAAACUAGUUUCCUCAAUUCUCAUCUUUCAACUUUAUCUUUUAAUUUGUUCAUCAUUAUUCCUUCAUCAAAAUUCACAGCAUAACAACAACAACAUAUUAAGAUUUAAGACAACCCUCCCAUCAAAUAAUAAGAUACCCUAAAGUAAAGAGAUUGUCCCCCUUACCUCGAAUCCUUCGAAAAUUCCAGUUUGUGGCUUGACCUUGCUGUCACUAGGGUUUCUCCUCAUGUGCUCCUCUUUUCUUUCUUUUCCACGUUCAGCAAUACUGACUCUUAUAACUCUUAACCUCUCUUUUUAUAUUUAGGUCAAUCACUUGUUAAGAUUAUCUUCUCCUCUACUCGCUAUUCUUUUACUCCAACCCUCCCCACUUAUUUAAAACUUAUAUUCUACACCCUGACUCUAUAUUAUUUUAUUUUGGCUCCUCCCUUCAUUUUAUUUAAAUUCUAAUACUACUUAAUCAUCAUCAAUAUUAUAAUUUCUCAACAACAAAAUAAUACUCAAGCACAAGCACUAUAAAUAAUAAUAUUAAUCAAAACUUCACCUAUUAAACAUCAUUGAAUUAAUUAAAAAUAUAAAAUUAUAGUUAUCAUUAGGGGUAAAAUUAUCCUCAAUUCAUCACCGGGUAAUGCAAGCUUCGUUGAUAGAUUUAUUCUUACAAUCAAUUACCAUUUUCAUCUUAAGAAUAUCAAACUUUCUCAUCUCUUUCAUUCAACAUGUAAUCUUCAUCUUUUUUGUUUGAAAAUCGAAUUAUAUUUAUCAUUAAUAAUAAGAGCAAUGUUAUAUAUCAAGAAAGAUUUUAUCAAGAAAAUUUCAAGAAUUACAUGGCAGAAUAAUCACCCUUAAAUUUUAUCAAGAAAUAGUCCUGAAAUUAAUGUUAGCCAAUAAAAUCUCAGCCUGAUCGGAAAUCAUGGGGUGGUGGGUGUUAUGUAUUUUUUUUUAUGAAAGAUUAAUAAAUGAGAUUGAAAUCUAAAGGUGAUUAUUGUGCCAUGUCAUUCUUGAAUCUUUCUUAUAAAAUCAUUCUUAAUAUCUAGCAUUUUCCUAAGAAUAAUUACCUCUAAUUUAAUAAGGAGUAACGUAGACCUCACCUUUUUAAUUUUUUUUUAUUAGGUUAAAACCAUAAUAGAGAGUUUGGGCCUUUGGCCCUCUUAAGAGCCAUACUACUAAUAAUAAAAAGUUGCUUGUUAUGUAAGGUGGUAAGUUUCGAGGAAGGAUUCACUUUAAUUUCCAUAGACCACAGUAUCUGAGUUCUGAAACCGACAACCACAGGGAUACUUGUCUCAUCUAAAAGCUUUUUACGAUGCAGUCUCCAUCAAUACCAG